RNAcentral lists this ribosomal RNA (689 nucleotides) under uncultured bacterium. Its description in RNAcentral is "bacterial SSU rRNA". It matches the Rfam family "Bacterial small subunit ribosomal RNA", at positions 235 to 916 of the family's 1533-position model. The record is from RNAcentral.
GGCGCAUUAGCUAGUUGGUGAGGUAACGGCUCACCAAGGCGACGAUGCGUAGCCGGCCUGAGAGGGUGGUCGGCCACACUGGGACUGAGACACGGCCCAGACUCCUACGGGAGGCAGCAGUAGGGAAUCUUCCGCAAUGGGCGAAAGCCUGACGGAGCGAUGCCGCGUGAGCGAGGAAGGCCUUCGGGUCGUAAAGCUCUGUUGUCAGGGAAGAAGGACUCGGGUUCGAAUAGGGCCUGAGGGUGACGGUACCUGACGAGGAAGCCCCGGCUAACUACGUGCCAGCAGCCGCGGUAAUACGUAGGGGGCGAGCGUUGUCCGGAAUCACUGGGCGUAAAGGGCGCGUAGGCGGCCGGUUAAGUCUGGUGUCAAAGGCCACGGCUCAACCGUGGGGAGGCACUGGAAACUGGCCGGCUUGAGUGCAGGAGAGGGAAGCGGAAUUCCCGGUGUAGCGGUGAAAUGCGUAGAGAUCGGGAGGAACACCAGUGGCGAAGGCGGCUUCCUGGCCUGUGACUGACGCUGAGGCGCGAAAGCGUGGGGAGCGAACAGGAUUAGAUACCCUGGUAGUCCACGCCGUAAACGAUGAGUGCUAGGUGUUGGGGGCGUAGGCCCUCAGUGCUGAAGGAAACCCAAUAAGCACUCCGCCUGGGGAGUACGGCCGCAAGGCUGAAACUCAAAGGAAUUGACGG